GGGUGAGGUCGGUGCGCGGUGGCGUCACGGCGCCAGCUCCUCCCGACGCCGAGAUUUGGUAACUCGAGGCGUCCCUGGAGUACACUGAGGAUAAGUGUUUGAGAAAUGCUGUCUGAAGGAAUGAAGUCAGUCUAUGACAACGUCUCUCUGCCGUGAAUCAUUCCUGCAGAUGAAAAAGUGUGACUUGGCAGCUGAGGAGCCACCAGUGGUGCAGGAGCAGUUGGGGUCCAUUUCGAGCCGCGGUAAGGCUGGAGAUCUCAAGCGAUAACGGAGAGACAGCAAGGCGCACGUGGACGGCGUGUUCACCAAUUACCAAACUUUUUGACCUGAGCAACUAGAAGAAUGGAGUUGCCAUUAUUUGACACAAAGAAGACUGCAGGAGGGACAAGUUUGAGUAGAAAUAUGAAGAGCUCACCCAAGUGGAUGUGAGACAGGAUCUCACUCUGUCACCCAGGCUGGAGUGCACUGGCGUGAUCAUAGCUCACUGCAACCUCAAACUCCUGGGCUCGAGCGAUCCUCCCACCUCAGUCUCCUGAGUAGCUGUGACUACGGCUCACUGCAGCCUCCACCUCCCAGGUUCAAGCGAUUCUCCUGCCUCAGCCUCCCGAGUAGCUGGGAUUAUAGGCACCCGCCACCAUGCCCAGCUAAUUUUUGUAUUGUUAGUAGAGACGGGGUUUCACCAUGUUGGUCAGGCUGGGGGAGUUUUCUAUUAUUUAUUUCUUGUUUAAUUUUGGUAUAGCCAGAGAACAUGCUUUAUGUGGUUUUAUUAAAAAUUGUUAGUUUAUUUUAUGACCCAGAAUAUGAUCUAUCUGGGUAUAUGUUCUGUGGGCACUUGGAAAGAAUAUGUAUUCUGUUGUUCUUGGGUAGAGUGUUUUUUGUAAAUGUCCAUUAUAUUACACCAGUUGAUAACGUUAUCCAGGUUUGAUAUAUCCUUUUUGAUUUCCAUCUAUUUGUUUAUCAGUUAUUGAGAAUGGACUUAUUGAGUCUCCCAGUUAUGACUGUGGAUUUUUCCAUAUCUCUUUUAGUUCUAUCAAUUUUUGCUUCAUUUAUUUUGGAUCUUUGUUAGUUGCAUAUUAUAUUUCAGUGUUUAUCUUCUUGGUGAAUUGACCCUUUUAUCAUUAUGUAAUUUCCCUAUAUUUAUAUCUUUAUAUUUAAAAUAGGUUUCCUUAACAUUUGAGAAGUAAAAAUAAAAUAAAAUAUAAUAGCAU
This 1208-nucleotide small RNA is filed under the name Pan troglodytes (chimpanzee). RNAcentral's name for it is "processed transcript". The record is from RNAcentral. Lineage: Eukaryota; Metazoa; Chordata; Mammalia; Primates; Hominidae.